RNAcentral lists this ribosomal RNA (429 nucleotides) under Acidobacteriota bacterium. Its description in RNAcentral is "Acidobacteria bacterium partial 16S ribosomal RNA". It matches the Rfam family "Bacterial small subunit ribosomal RNA", at positions 355 to 776 of the family's 1533-position model. Lineage: Bacteria; Pseudomonadati; Acidobacteriota. The record is from RNAcentral.
UAGGGAAUCUUCCGCAAUGGGCGAAAGCCUGACGGAGCAACGCCGCGUGAGUGAUGAAGGUCUUCGGAUCGUAAAACUCUGUUAUUAGGGAAGAACAAAUGUGUAAGUAACUAUGCACGUCUUGACGGUACCUAAUCAGAAAGCCACGGCUAACUACGUGCCAGCAGCCGCGGUAAUACGUAGGUGGCAAGCGUUAUCCGGAAUUAUUGGGCGUAAAGCGCGCGUAGGCGGUUUUUUAAGUCUGAUGUGAAAGUCCACGGCUCAACCGUGGAGGGUCAUUGGAAACUGGAAAACUUGAGUGCAGAAGAGGAAAGUGGAAUUCCAUGUGUAGCGGUGAAAUGCGCAGAGAUAUGGAGGAACACCAGUGGCGAAGGCGACUUUCUGGUCUGUAACUGACGCUUAUGUGCGAAAGCGUGGGGAUCAAACAGG